CUUCAGCUCAGGGCACAGGGACAUGCAAAUGCAGUGAUUAUGCUACUUUUAGAGCCAAGUUUUCACAGCAUUGCACCUAAGCUAACAAUUGGUGCCACGAGCACCAGCAGGGCUUAUCUGCAAUUCACAUAACUUGCUCUCUGAUAACACAUAACUGACUCUGAACAGAAAUUCAGCAGACAAUUGCAACAAAUUCCAGGCCUCUAAAAGGAAGCAGAAAGACGAGUUUCAUCUCGCUGUUACAUGAGUCAAGAGAAGUGGAGCAAUAACUAACAGGUCCAUUCAGCCCUUUACAAAAUACUUCCUCACACUAUGUAAUUUUGUAAUUUUUCACCUUUGCAAUUACAAACUAUUUCAAAAAGAGGAAAGAGUCCCACAAAUCUGCCAGAAAGUACCCCGGUGUAAUUACAGGGCUUCUCUGAUUUGCAUGUAUUAAUAACAAUAAAAAGGUAAUUGGAAGUUCAUCUGGAAGAGAUGAAAGGCUACAUCCUAAGAUAAUGGAUCUGAGGUUACCAAACACCAAAAAGUAGUUACUGAAAAAAAACCCAAGAGACUCAAAUCUAUACGCAAACUUAGUCACAGUAAAAAUAUAGCAAUUUUUGCCAGGUCUUUGGAGGUGCCUGUGCUUGUAACAAAUGCUAAAACUAAAAAAAAAACUAUUCAAUGUGGUCAAUCCCAAUAUUUCACUAAGAAAGGCUUUUCAGGAAUUACCUGUAUUGAUCCAACAAUACUCCAAUCAAUUUCGCCUCUCAGUUUUCUUCCACCAGUGUGCUAAUACAUCCUUAAAUUUGUGUGUCAGCUAUGAUAUCAGCUGACAAGCUUGUUACCCCAGCUGAAUAAAAAAAAAGACUGAACACAAUUCCACAAACUCUUCAUGGAGCAUAUGACCGUAAAAAAACUCUAGAAUUUGACUACAGAAGAGACAUUUGUAGUCACAUUAAAUACAAGCCUAUUUGUUUUUCCAAGAAUGCCUUAUGAAUCCACAUAUAAGCCUUCAAAUGAAGACUUACAUGCUGCAAGCUCCAAAGCUGCUGCAAAAGAACAGCAAUUUCAAUUCCAGAAACCAAGAAAGAAGGUGGCUACAGUUCAGUGCCUAAUUUCCUUUUAUCAGGAAGAGAAAAAAGGCGUGGAAGAUUAAGACUUUUAUGAUUUCAACAAGCUUUCUGAUCAUAAAGUGAGCCAUGACCUUUGAAGCAGAAUACACGGCGUAUCCAAGUACGAAGAACAGUCAGAGUUCACUUAAACACAUGGAUCAAAAAAAUGAUGUGCAUGCUCACCUACAACUCUCUUUCCUGUACUGUGCAGAGUACGUGUAUGCAGAAGAGCACCAUCACAUUAAGGAACUCGGCUGCAGGAGAACCAGAGAGCACAACUCAGCUGCUUACAGAGGACAGCAAAGAACCAGCCACAAGUAAUGCUUGUGUUGGGCCCAACUCUUGGUGAAACACAGCACACGAAACAGUAUUGUAGCAGUUACUGAGCAGCAGCAGCAUCACACAGCUGCUGCUAGAAAGGACUACACUGGUCUAAGCAGAACAUACGAGGGUCUGAUGCUGAUCACAGAAUGUACUGAGUUGGACCCACAAGGAUCAUUGAGCACAAUCCCUGGCCCUGCACAGCACAACUCCAGGAGUCAUCUCCUAUUUGAGGGAGCUGUCCAAGAGCUUCUUGAACUCUGUCGGGCUUGGUGCUGUGACCACUUCCCUGAAUCACUGUUCCAGUACCUAGGUAAAGAACAUUUUCCAAAUAUCCCACCAAACCUGCCCCUGAACACCUUCAUGCCCUUCCCUUGGAUCCUGUCACUGAUCACCAGAAAGAAGCGAUUAGUGCCUGCCCCUCCUCUUCUCCUGGUGAUGAUGUUGCAACUGCAAUGAGGUGUGCCCUCAGGCUCCUCUUCUCCAGGCUGAACAGACCAAGUGACUCUUCAGAAAGCUUUCCUUCGAGAUCCUUUCACCAUUUCUGUAGCCCCCCUUUGGAUGCUCUCUAUAUCUUUUGUGGGUGAGAAGACAAAAGCCAUGUGCAAACACAGGAACAUUUGCAGAUGCUGCUGCAGACAACAAACAGGAUUUAUCACAGGACUCUGGGUAACACCUUGCAUGGCAGGCAUGUACUUUAGGGAGAGAAGAUGCUACAAGUGCAGUAUGUGCUGCACAAGUACGAGAGCAGUGCUUGGUGACUGCUUACUGCUGCUACCCCGGGGAAGGACAGCACUCUGU
Molecule: long non-coding RNA, 2216 nt
Organism: Passer domesticus (house sparrow)
Lineage: Eukaryota; Metazoa; Chordata; Aves; Passeriformes; Passeridae
Exons: 4
Source: RefSeq, a predicted model, not a curated record